This 1555-nucleotide ribosomal RNA is filed under the name Salmonella enterica subsp. enterica serovar Paratyphi A. RNAcentral describes it as "bacterial SSU rRNA". It matches the Rfam family "Bacterial small subunit ribosomal RNA". The record is from RNAcentral. Lineage: Bacteria; Pseudomonadati; Pseudomonadota; Gammaproteobacteria; Enterobacterales; Enterobacteriaceae.
UUAAAUUGAAGAGUUUGAUCAUGGCUCAGAUUGAACGCUGGCGGCAGGCCUAACACAUGCAAGUCGAACGGUAACAGGAAGCAGCUUGCUGCUUUGCUGACGAGUGGCGGACGGGUGAGUAAUGUCUGGGAAACUGCCUGAUGGAGGGGGAUAACUACUGGAAACGGUGGCUAAUACCGCAUAACGUCGCAAGACCAAAGAGGGGGACCUUCGGGCCUCUUGCCAUCAGAUGUGCCCAGAUGGGAUUAGCUUGUUGGUGAGGUAACGGCUCACCAAGGCGACGAUCCCUAGCUGGUCUGAGAGGAUGACCAGCCACACUGGAACUGAGACACGGUCCAGACUCCUACGGGAGGCAGCAGUGGGGAAUAUUGCACAAUGGGCGCAAGCCUGAUGCAGCCAUGCCGCGUGUAUGAAGAAGGCCUUCGGGUUGUAAAGUACUUUCAGCGGGGAGGAAGGUGUUGUGGUUAAUAACCGCAGCAAUUGACGUUACCCGCAGAAGAAGCACCGGCUAACUCCGUGCCAGCAGCCGCGGUAAUACGGAGGGUGCAAGCGUUAAUCGGAAUUACUGGGCGUAAAGCGCACGCAGGCGGUCUGUCAAGUCGGAUGUGAAAUCCCCGGGCUCAACCUGGGAACUGCAUUCGAAACUGGCAGGCUUGAGUCUUGUAGAGGGGGGUAGAAUUCCAGGUGUAGCGGUGAAAUGCGUAGAGAUCUGGAGGAAUACCGGUGGCGAAGGCGGCCCCUGGACAAAGACUGACGCUCAGGUGCGAAAGCGUGGGGAGCAAACAGGAUUAGAUACCCUGGUAGUCCACGCCGUAAACGAUGUCUACUUGGAGGUUGUGCCCUUGAGGCGUGGCUUCCGGAGCUAACGCGUUAAGUAGACCGCCUGGGGAGUACGGCCGCAAGGUUAAAACUCAAAUGAAUUGACGGGGGCCCGCACAAGCGGUGGAGCAUGUGGUUUAAUUCGAUGCAACGCGAAGAACCUUACCUGGUCUUGACAUCCACGGAAGUUUUCAGAGAUGAGAAUGUGCCUUCGGGAACCGUGAGACAGGUGCUGCAUGGCUGUCGUCAGCUCGUGUUGUGAAAUGUUGGGUUAAGUCCCGCAACGAGCGCAACCCUUAUCCUUUGUUGCCAGCGGUCCGGCCGGGAACUCAAAGGAGACUGCCAGUGAUAAACUGGAGGAAGGUGGGGAUGACGUCAAGUCAUCAUGGCCCUUACGACCAGGGCUACACACGUGCUACAAUGGCGCAUACAAAGAGAAGCGACCUCGCGAGAGCAAGCGGACCUCAUAAAGUGCGUCGUAGUCCGGAUUGGAGUCUGCAACUCGACUCCAUGAAGUCGGAAUCGCUAGUAAUCGUGGAUCAGAAUGCCACGGUGAAUACGUUCCCGGGCCUUGUACACACCGCCCGUCACACCAUGGGAGUGGGUUGCAAAAGAAGUAGGUAGCUUAACCUUCGGGAGGGCGCUUACCACUUUGUGAUUCAUGACUGGGGUGAAGUCGUAACAAGGUAACCGUAGGGGAACCUGCGGUUGGAUCACCUCCUUACCUUAAAGAAGC